UAUUUGCGUUAGGGAUGGAAGCGGCAUCCUUUUGUGUAGCUUGCGGAACAAAAGAUAUAGCGUACAGCCCGCCCACCC
RNAcentral lists this small RNA (78 nucleotides) under Flavobacterium chilense. RNAcentral's name for it is "Flavo-1 RNA". It matches the Rfam family "Flavo-1 RNA". The record is from RNAcentral. Lineage: Bacteria; Pseudomonadati; Bacteroidota; Flavobacteriia; Flavobacteriales; Flavobacteriaceae.